RNAcentral lists this ribosomal RNA (1197 nucleotides) under Haemaphysalis concinna. Its description in RNAcentral is "16S ribosomal RNA". The record is from RNAcentral. Lineage: Eukaryota; Metazoa; Arthropoda; Arachnida; Ixodida; Ixodidae.
AAUAAAAAAAUGGUUAAUAAAUUGUAUUAAACAAUACAAUAAAAAUUUAUUCAAAAAAUAUUGUGUUAAACUGUGAAGGAAUUUUUUUUAAAGAAAAAGUAAUUUUCUGUACCUUUAGCAUAAGGGAUUUUCAAAAAAAAAUAAAAAUUUAUUUAUUUCGAAAUUAACUGAUCUAUUAAAUAUUAAAAAUUUAUAUUUCAAAAUAAAUUUUAAGUAUUUAAUAGAAGUGAAAUUCUUAUCAAAGUUAAUGAUAUCUAAUUUUUAAAAAAAAAAUAAAAUUUUUCUUAUAAUAAUAUAUAUUUAUUAGGAUUAUAAGUAAUCAUGUAAGGGAUAAGCUUUACAUAAAAUUAUAUUUAAUUAUGUUUAAAUUUAAAAAGAAUUAAUAUUUUUCUUAUAUUGUUAUAAGUAAUUAAUAUUUUUUUUAUAAAAAAAAAUAAUUAACUUUUGUUUUUUUAAAUUUAAAAAAAAAAUAAAAAUGAAAAUAUAAGUAUAAUUAUACAUAUAUAUAUAUAUAAUUUUAUAUGUUAUUACACUUUUAAAUUAAAUUCUAGAAAUUAGGCAAACAUUUUUUUUGACUGUUUAAUAAAAACAAUGUAUUUAGAUAUUUAAUUAAAUAUAAAUCCUGCUCAAUGAAUAAUUAAAUUGCUGUAGUAUUUUGACUAUACAAAGGUAUUGUAAUAAGACUUUAAUUGAGUGCUAAAAGAAUGGACUUUCAAAAAAUUACUAUCUUGAAUUUAAAAAUCGAAUUUAUUUUUAUUUGUGAAGAAACAAUAAUUUAGAUUAAGGACAAGAAGACCCUAAGAAUUUUUAAAUUUUAUAUAAAAUCUAGAUUUUAUAUAAAAAUUUUUAAUUGGGGCGAUUAUAAAAUAUUAUUAACUUUAAAUUCAGGAAAAUGAUCCAUAAUUAAUGAUUAGAUGUAAAAAAUACUCUAGGGAUAACAGCGUAAUAAUUUUAGAUAGCUCAUAUAGAAAAAAUAGUUUGCGACCUCGAUGUUGGAUUAGGAUACUUUUUUAAUGAAGAAGUUAAAAAAAGAAGUUUGUUCAACUUUUAAAAUCCUACAUGAUCUGAGUUUAGACCGAUGUGAAUCAGGUUGGUUUCUAUCUUAAUAAAAAAAAAAAUUUUUAAUUAGUACGAAAGGAAUUUUAAAAUAUAAAAAAUUAUAUAAAUAUAACAGUUUUUGCAUCAAUUUUUGGAAUU